ACCGCAUACGUCCUACGGGAGAAAGCAGGGGACCUUCGGGCCUUGCGCUAUCAGAUGAGCCUAGGUCGGAUUAGCUAGUUGGUGAGGUAAUGGCUCACCAAGGCGACGAGCCGUAACUGGUCUGAGAGGAUGAUCAGUCACACUGGAACUGAGACACGGUCCAGACUCCUACGGGAGGCAGCAGUGGGGAAUAUUGGACAAUGGGCGAAAGCCUGAUCCAGCCAAGCCGCGUGUGUGAAGAAGGUCUUCGGAUUG
This 255-nucleotide ribosomal RNA is filed under the name uncultured bacterium. RNAcentral's name for it is "partial 16S ribosomal RNA". It matches the Rfam family "Bacterial small subunit ribosomal RNA", at positions 168 to 425 of the family's 1533-position model. The record is from RNAcentral.